UCAGGACGAACGCUGGCGGCGUGCUUAACACAUGCAAGUCGAACGGUAAGGUCCUUCGGGGUACACGAGUGGCGAACGGGUGAGUAACACGUGGGUGAUCUGCCCUGCACUUCGGGAUAAGCCUGGGAAACUGGGUCUAAUACCGGAUAGGACCAUGGACUUCACGGUUUGUGGUGGAAAGCUUUUGCGGUGUGGGAUGGGCCCGCGGCCUAUCAGCUUGUUGGUGGGGUAAUGGCCUACCAAGGCGACGACGGGUAGCCGGCCUGAGAGGGUGUCCGGCCACACUGGGACUGAGAUACGGCCCAGACUCCUACGGGAGGCAGCAGUGGGGAAUAUUGCACAAUGGGCGCAAGCCUGAUGCAGCGACGCCGCGUGAGGGAUGACGGCCUUCGGGUUGUAAACCUCUUUCAAUAGGGACGAAGCGCAAGUGACGGUACCUAUAGAAGAAGCACCGGCCAACUACGUG
Molecule: ribosomal RNA, 466 nt
Filed under: uncultured bacterium
Lineage: Bacteria
Description: bacterial SSU rRNA
Rfam family: Bacterial small subunit ribosomal RNA
Source: RNAcentral